UUACGGCCAUAUCACGUUGAAAAACCAGUUCUUGUACGAUCACUGGAAUUAAGCAACGUCGAGCCUGGUCAGUACCUAGAUGAGUGACCGCUUGCGAAUAUCAGUUGCUGUAA
This is a non-coding RNA of Acanthosepion pharaonis, 113 nucleotides long. Lineage: Eukaryota; Metazoa; Mollusca; Cephalopoda; Sepiida; Sepiidae. The record is from the annotation of a GenBank genome assembly.